Molecule: ribosomal RNA, 496 nt
Filed under: uncultured bacterium
Lineage: Bacteria
Description: partial 16S ribosomal RNA
Rfam family: Bacterial small subunit ribosomal RNA
Source: RNAcentral
GAUGAACGCUGGCGGCGUGCCUAAUACAUGCCAGUCGAGCGAACGGACGAGAAGCUUGCUUCUCUGAUGUUAGCGGCGGACGGGUGAGUAACACGUGGAUAACCUACCUAUAAGACUGGGAUAACUUCGGGAAACCGGAGCUAAUACCGGAUGAUAUUUUGAACCGCAUGGUUCAAAAGUGAAAGACGGUCUUGCUGUCACUUAUAGAUGGAUCCGCGCUGCAUUAGCUAGUUGGUAAGGUAACGGCUUACCAAGGCAACGAUGCAUAGCCGACCUGAGAGGGUGAUCGGCCACACUGGACCUGAGACACGGUCCAGACUCCUACGGGAGGCAGCAGUAGGGAAUCUUCCGCAAUGGGCGAAAGCCUGACGGAGCAACGCCGCGUGAGUGAUGAAGGUCUGCGGAUCGUAAAACUCUGUUAUUAGGGAAGAACAGAUGUGUAAGUAACUGUGCACAUCUGGACGGUACCUAAUCAGAAAGCCACGGCUAACUACGU